This 83-nucleotide transfer RNA is filed under the name Lachnospiraceae bacterium. Its description in RNAcentral is "tRNA-Leu". It matches the Rfam family "tRNA". Rfam says of the family: Transfer RNA (tRNA) molecules are approximately 80 nucleotides in length. Their secondary structure includes four short double-helical elements and three loops (D, anti-codon, and T loops). Further hydrogen bonds mediate the characteristic L-shaped molecular structure. tRNAs have two regions of fundamental functional importance: the anti-codon, which is responsible for specific mRNA codon recognition, and the 3' end, to which the tRNAs corresponding amino acid is attached (by aminoacyl-tRNA synthetases). tRNAs cope with the degeneracy of the genetic code in two manners: having more than one tRNA (with a specific anti-codon) for a particular amino acid; and 'wobble' base-pairing, i.e. permitting non-standard base-pairing at the 3rd anti-codon position. The record is from RNAcentral. Lineage: Bacteria; Bacillati; Bacillota; Clostridia; Lachnospirales; Lachnospiraceae.
GCAGGAAUGGCGGAAUGGCAGACGCGACAGACUCAAAAUCUGUUAUCCGUGAGGGUGUGUGGGUUCAAGUCCCAUUUCCUGCA